This is a long non-coding RNA of Haemorhous mexicanus (house finch), 670 nucleotides long. RefSeq lists it as uncharacterized. Lineage: Eukaryota; Metazoa; Chordata; Aves; Passeriformes; Fringillidae. The record is from RefSeq and is a predicted model, not a curated record. The transcript is spliced from 3 exons.
UGUUCCUCCGGGCCGGCAGGGGGCGCUGUUCGCCGUGACGCCCCUCCAGGGCUGUCCCCCACCUGGCGGCCGUGGCCCCGCCCCCCGCCGAGGGGGCCCUGGGGACCCUCCUGCCCCCCCCGUGCGGGGUCUGCGGCAGCCGCCGCGAGAACUGGCUGUGCCUCAGCUGCCACCAGGUGCUGUGCGGGCGCUAUGUCGGGGGGCACAUGCUGAGCCACGGGGGGGCCCAGGGGCACCCGCUGGUGCUGAGCCUGCGCGACCUGGGGGCCUGGUGCUACCCCUGCGGGGGCUACGUCACCCACCCGGUGCUGCUCCCCACCAAGACCUUCAUCUACCGCCUCAAAUUCGGCACUGACCCCCCCGCCGCCUCCUUCUGAGCCCCUCCCCCACAGGACACCCCACCCUCCCCUCCCCCCACUCUUAAAGGGCUACACACGUGCCAUCCCCCCCCCAUCACCAGCACCCCGGGACCCCCAAACCCCCCCUGGGCCAAAGGCUGGGCCGGGCCCGGGGGCGGGGGGAGGGGCAGGGGGGACACCCCCCCCCCCCCAAACCGCGGGGGGGUCCCGGGGCACGCGGGGGGACCCCGGUUUUGUAUCCCCCUCCCCUUUUGGAGGUUUUAUAAAUCCCCUUUGUUACGCCGAGACACCAAUAAAGAGACGGGCCAGGC